This is an RNA transcript of Quercus lobata, 2307 nucleotides long. RefSeq lists it as uncharacterized. The record is from RefSeq and is a predicted model, not a curated record. Lineage: Eukaryota; Viridiplantae; Streptophyta; Magnoliopsida; Fagales; Fagaceae. The transcript has 5 exons.
GCUCAUAAGCCCAUCUCUCUCUCACUCUCACUCUCACUCUCACUCUCUGGGUCAUGGAUAAUAUUAAGGAGCAACUUUCAAAUAAUAGCUUAUUGGGAAUUCUUAGGCUGUGCAUUUCAAUCCCUUUUCUUUCAACGAAGGCUUGUUUACUGAUAUUCUUUGUCUCAAUUUUAUGUCCACCACUUUUAUUUUGCGCCUAUGUUGCUUUUAAGUGUUUAUUUGGUACUCUUUAUCACCAAAUAUUGAACAAAGAGAUAGUACUAACUCUUCUCCUGCCGAUCAUCCACCAAAUAGUUUUCCUUGUGUUCACUCUUGUGCCCUCCACCAUUGCUAUGUUCCUCACCAUAGCUUCUGUCUACACUUCUGAACCAAUACCCUUCUUCAGCUUCUUCCGAGCCAUAUUCUACAUUUUUCUGCACUACUUUGACACCUUUUUCUUGGUCAUGGCUUUCGUGAGUCUCUACCGGGCAUUAUUAAUCAAUACUAUAUGUCUUUCCAUAUUGGCUUACCACACAAACAACCCUCUUCUCCUUUUGGUCGCUUGCAUCGUUUUGUUUCUGUUCAUAGCUCUUCAAUUCUUCACUGAACACUGGUUGCUUGCUUCUUUUGUAUCAAUGUUUGAAGGGAUUCAUGGGAUGGCAGCCCUUAAAAGGAGUAGAGAACUGAUCAAGGGGCGUACAGACAUUUUGGUAGUCUUGUUAUUUUUUUUGGUUUGCGAAUGGAUUCAGCUUCAACAAGAAAUAUCUAUGUUGGGAGAUAAAUUGAAUUCUGGGAGUAUUGAUUGGAGAGUAAAAUUGUCUGCUGUGCCAACAUUUGGUUUGUUAUUUCCAGUGAUUUUGUUUGGAAUUUCAGCUCAAACUGUCUUAUAUUUUGUCUCCAACCAAGGGAUUGACAAGGAUGCUUUGUCUAAACGACUUGGUGGGUACCUUUGAUCAACAUGCGCCAACUAUCAGUAAUGACAUUGAGACAUGAUAUCCUAGGAAUCCUCAAACAGUAGCUUACUUGCAGUUACUAGAACUUCCUUAUCUUCAAAGAGCUUCUACUCGUCCUCGUUUGAAGAAGAGGUAUCACAGCCGUGUCGAAAGGGUUAGAGAGUAUCUUGAGACGAUCAAGGACUUUAAUGAACUCAUCUCUCCUCAAUCUCUUUUUCUACAUUUCCUUGGACUAGAGCCUUUUAAGCACAUUUGAAGGAACAUUGAAAUUGUUAAGAAGAGGAUGACAACGAGAUUCAGUAAAUCUAAAUUGGUCAAGGUCCAAGAGAAGAGGGCCAAAUGAGGUUUGACAGGUGGCCUUUUGAUGAGAAAACGUCAGAGGGACACGGAGACUCCUAAGGAUGAUCCUAUGUUGACUUCGCCCAUUGCCAAAUCUGUUCCCCAAUGUCCAGCCCCACCUACUUCUUUUCUGGAGCUGAUUGCUUCUAUUGAUGGUGGUUCCAAACCCAAGGGCAAGUACAAAGCCCUUCCGGGUUCUUUCUAGGACGAUGCAGGAAUUGCAAUGCUUAUAGCCCAUGAGGCUAUAUCUAUUGAUGAUCUUUCUCCCUUAGGGGUGAGGCCAUCUCACGAGCUAAUGUCAUCCUACAUGCACAAGGUUAUGCAGGUGUUAGGUGAAUCCUUGUACAUUUUGGGAAAGUACUUGGAUUAUGAGGAGAAGUAUGUGAAGGCCAAAUCCAAGGUGGAAUCUCUUUCUGCUGGGAAUGAGUCGCUCAAGGGUCAAAUCUCUGCCCUUGUUGACGAGGACAAAAAGGACAAGGAACGCCUAAAGACCCUAGAGAAGAGCAUCGACACUGAGUAAGCUUUUUCAAAGCUGAAGGACAAGCAAAUUGACGAGGCUCUCUUGAAAGUCGAGAAGGCUGGCUUAGAGGCAGUGGAGAAAUUCAAAGCUUCAGACGAGUAUUCGGAUAAGCUCUGUGACUAUUAUGUGGAAGGUUUCAACCUUCUUUAUAAUUAUUUGGUCAAACAUCACCCAGAGUUGGACUUCUCUAACCUUGAUAUGGAGGCUGUUGAGACCUAUUGGCUGAUUGUCAGUCCACAAAAGUGGUUAGAGAAGGUGGAGAAGUUGCUGCUGUUGACGAAGCUGUUGAUGUUGAUCCAUCAUCUUUUGUUUUACCUUAGAUUUAUUAUUAUUUUUUUUUUUGGUAAGAUAAAAACACUGUUAUUUUUGGGGCUCGCUGUUUUGAGCACAUCUACUUGUUUUUUUUUUUCUUUUGAACAAUCUCUUGGGCUCGUCUAUUUCGAGCAUAUAAUCUAUGAAUAUUUUUCUCCUUGAAUUUGUUUGGCAACUGCUUUUAUGAUGAUGUUGUUGCAUGUU